This 475-nucleotide ribosomal RNA is filed under the name uncultured bacterium. RNAcentral's name for it is "partial 16S ribosomal RNA". It matches the Rfam family "Bacterial small subunit ribosomal RNA", at positions 28 to 507 of the family's 1533-position model. The record is from RNAcentral.
GAUGAACGCUGGCGGCGUGCUUAACACAUGCAAGUCGAACGAUGAACCUCACUUGUGGGGGGAUUAGUGGCGAACGGGUGAGUAACACGUGAGUAACCUGCCCUUGACUCUGGGAUAAGCCUGGGAAACCGGGUCUAAUACUGGAUACGACCUUCUGGCGCAUGCCAUGUUGGUGGAAAGCUUUUGUGGUUUUGGAUGGACUCGCGGCCUAUCAGCUUGUUGGUGGGGUAAUGGCCUACCAAGGCGACGACGGGUAGCCGGCCUGAGAGGGUGACCGGCCACACGGGGACUGAGGCACGGCCCAGACUCCGACGGGAGGCAGCAGUGGGGAAUAUUGCACAAUGGGCGCAAGCCUGAUGCAGCGACGCCGCGUGAGGGAUGAAGGCCUUCGGGUUGUAAACCUCUUUCAGUAGGGAAGAAGCCGGCUUUUGGGUUGGUGACGGUACCUGCAGAAGAAGCGCCGGCUAACUACGUG